RNAcentral lists this long non-coding RNA (2524 nucleotides) under Anas platyrhynchos platyrhynchos (common mallard). RNAcentral's name for it is "lncRNA (ENSAPLG00000021565.1)". The record is from RNAcentral. Lineage: Eukaryota; Metazoa; Chordata; Aves; Anseriformes; Anatidae.
UGCAGUAUCAGUCCCCAGGAGAACACGUGCAAAGUAGUCGGGGUGCUUGCAUGCUGCAUGCAGCAUCCCCAAAUGAGUAUUGCAGCGUGGAAAUGCAACAAGGACUUUGCAAUAUCCUCAGGACACCGCAUGCAAAGCACUCGUUGUGUUUGCACGGAGCAAUAUCCGUGCUUGCUUGUUGCAUGCAACAUGCUCCAUGCGUUUGCGUGGUGCAAUAUCUGCAAGGUGUUGCACGCAAAAUGCCUGGUGUAUUCACAAGGUGCAAUAUUCGUCCUUGGGAUCUUGCAUGCAAAAUGCUUGGUGCAUUCACAAGGUGCAAUGCUCACCCUCGGGACCCUGCAUGCAAAAUGCUUGGUGCAUUCACAAGGUGCAAUGCUCACCCUCGGGAUCUUGCAUGCAAAAUGCUUGGUGCACAUAACGCUUUGCAAUGCAUGCAACCCCGGUGCAUUUCCACCCACCCCUCAGCUAAUUGCCCCCCCUUUCUCCUGCAGCAUUACCCUGCCCGGAAAACAGCCACUACGAAGCUUGUGGCAACGCCUGCCCGGCCACUUGCACCAACCGGGACGCGCCCUCCUCUUGCACCCAGCCCUGCGUGGAGACCUGCGCUUGCAACCCUGGCUACGUCCUCAGCGGUGGCCAGUGCGUGGCGGUGGCCGACUGCGGUUGCACCCGCGACGGCCGCUACUACCAAGCCGGCGAGGAAUUUUGGGACGACGAGACCUGCCAUUCCCGGUGCAGGUGCGACCCGGUUUUGGGCAUGGUGGUGUGCAAGGAGGCCAGCUGCAAGGCGGGCGAGCAGUGCGCCGUGGUGAAGGGCGUGCGGCGCUGCGUGGCCAAGGGUCGCUCCAUCUGCGUGGCCACCGGGGACCCCCACUACACCACCUUCGACGGGCGCCGCUACGACUUCAUGGGCACCUGCGUCUACCAGUUCGCUGCCCUCUGCUCCGAAGACCCCACCCUUGUCCCCUUCGUGGUCACGGUGGAGAACAACAACCGGGGCAGCCGCGUGGUCUCCUACACCAAGGAGGUCACCUUGAAGGUCUACAACAUGACCCUCAGCCUCAGCCAAGCAGACCCCCAGAAGCUCAAGGUCAACGGGAUCCUGGUGGACCUCCCCUUCAGCCACGGCACCCAGCUCCGCGCCUACAUCAGCGGCGUCCACGGCUUCCUCAAGACCGACUUCGACGUCAUCGUCACCUUCGACUGGCACAGCUACGCCAGGGUCAUCCUCCCCAGCACCUACGCGCGCUCCGUCUGCGGGCUCUGCGGCAACGCCGACGGGAACCCCGAGGACGACUUCGCUUUGCCCGACGGCACCUCGGCCAGCGACGAGGUCCAAUUCGCCGACGCCUGGAAGGUGGCCGACGUCCCCGGCUGCUCUGCCGGCUGCACCAAGGAUUGCCAAGUUUGCAGCGAGGCGGAGAAGCGCGCCUACCGCGGCGACAAGCACUGCGGGGUCCUGGUGAAGAAGCAAGGUCCCUUCGCCGCCUGCCACGGCGCCAUCGACCCGGCUCCCUACUUUGACGACUGCCUCUUCGACACUUGCCUCUACAAGGGGCACCAGGAAACCGUCUGCAGCGCCGUCAGCGCCUACGUCACCGCCUGCCAGAGCCAGGGGAUUCGCGUCGAGCCGUGGCGCACGGCCGCCUUCUGCAGUACGUGGGGCUCGGCGCGGGGAGAUCCGCUGGGGUUGGGAAGGGGGGUGUGCAUGGGGGAAUUGGGGUGUGCAUGCAUGGAGGGAUUUGGGUUUGCAUGGAGGAAUUGGGGCGUGCAUGCACGGAGGGAUUUGGGUUUGCAUGCACAAAGGGAUUUGGGGUCUACAUGAAAAGUCUGGGGUUUGCAUGCAUGAUUUGGGCUCACAUUUCUGCAGGAUUUGGGAAUUGCGGGAAGGGAUUUGGGUUUGCGUUUCUGCAAGGUUUGGGAACUGCAAGAGGGUUUGGGGGGGGGUUGCAUUUCUGGAAUGUUUUGGAAUUGUAAAAAGGGAUUUGGGACUCACAUUUCUGCAGGGUUUUAGAAUUGCAGGAAAGGAUUUGGGUUUGCAUUUCUGCAGGGAUUUAGGAUUGCAGAAAGGGAUUUGGGCUCACAUUUCUGGGGUUUUUUGGAAUUGCAUGAAGGAAUUUAGGUUUGCAUUUCUGCAAGGAUAAGGGAUUGCAGGAAGGGAUUUGGGGCUUGCAUUUCUGAAGGGUUUGGGGAUUGCAUGAAGGAAUUUUGGGUUACAUUUCUGCAGGGUUUUGGAAUUGCAGGAAGGGAUUUGGGCUCACAUUUCUGCAAGGUUUAGGGGUUGCAGAAGGGGAUUCAGGGCUUGCAUUUUUGCAUGUUUUUGGAAUUGCAGGAAGGGAUUUGGGGUUGCAUUUCUGCAAUGUUUUGGAAUUGCAGGAAGGGAUUUGGUGUUGCAUUUCUGCAAUGUUUUGGAAUUGCAAGAAGGGAUUUGGGACUCAAGUUUCUGCAGGGAUUUGGGAUUUCAGGGAGGGAUUUGGGCUCACAUUUUUGGGGUGUUUUGGAAUUGCAGGAAGGAAUUUGGGUU